GACGAACGCUGGCGGCGUGCUUAACACAUGCAAGUCGAACGGAAAGGCCCUGCUUGCAGGGUACUCGAGUGGCGAAAGGGUGAGUAACACGUGGGUGAUCUGCCCUGCACUUCGGGAUAAGCCUGGGGAACAGGGUGGAAUACCGGAGAGAGGCCAUUCUGAUGGUUGGGGGGGGUAGGUUUUUUGCGGGUAGGGUGAGCCUGCGGCCUAUCAGCUUGUUGGUGGGGUAGUGGCCUACCCAGGAGGGGGCGGGUAGGCGGCCGGGGGGGGUGGACGGCCAACUUGGGACUUAGAUUCGGCCCAGACUCCUACGGGAGGCAGCAGUGGGGAAUUUUGCCCAAUGGGCGCAAGCCUGAUGCAGGGACGCCGCGGUGGGGAUGACGGCCUUCGGGUUGUAAACUCCUUUCGCCAUGGACGAAGCUUUUUGUGACGGUACCUAGAUAAGAAGCACCGGCUAACUACGUG
This 465-nucleotide ribosomal RNA is filed under the name uncultured bacterium. RNAcentral's name for it is "partial 16S ribosomal RNA". It matches the Rfam family "Bacterial small subunit ribosomal RNA", at positions 28 to 507 of the family's 1533-position model. The record is from RNAcentral.